AGUCGCGCGCGAUUUGUGUCGGCAACCUUUUCGUUCAAUUGGUGUUGACGUUUUGAUUUCUGCGUUCAUUGAAUUUCAAUAUCUGUCAGUGGUGAUGCAAAACAGUGUUUACAAUAUUGGCGCAUCUGUUUCUAUGAACGAACGAGAUGAAAUGCAAUCAAUAUGCAAGUUCUCUUGAUAUACCGUCCGGGAAGAGUGCUGAAUUGGUCAAGGAUGCGUAUAAUAUUGGAGAUAUAGCAAGAAGCACAGAAUCCGCUGGAUGUGUUUUUCCAAGUUAACAGCAAUUGUUGCUGUCUGUUGUUAUCAGCGAGCCGAAAUAAGUAUGUUAGAUAGCCUAAGAUUGGAUAAUUCUGGUCAGAUUUCCCGGGAAACCGUUAUCAUCCCUGAUUCUCGAUUGUACCAUGUGCGAAGGUGCGGUCUGCGAAUAUGUGACCCCUGGGAGAAUUUUUCAUAUUUAGCGUUAGUGUAUACAUAAAUCAUUCUUUAGAAGAAUUGUUGAAAAUUUUUCGGUUUUCUUUAUAUAAUUCUUUUCGGCUGUAUUCUUAUUUCAAUGAUUUUUUUAUGUUUGUAAAUAUUGUUUGCUGGUUUGUGGUAUUACUCCAACGAAAAAUAAAUAUAUACAUCCAUUUUUUAGAAAUA
Molecule: long non-coding RNA, 639 nt
Organism: Toxorhynchites rutilus septentrionalis
Lineage: Eukaryota; Metazoa; Arthropoda; Insecta; Diptera; Culicidae
Exons: 3
Source: RefSeq, a predicted model, not a curated record